UGGACAGCAUCAGCGCCACGAGCUUCAAAUUGGUGGAUGCUGGUUAUGUUGCAAGGCGCCAUUGGUGGAUACGGGAAUACUGGAAGUCUGAAGCAAAUAUUUGACCACGAAAAUGGAAACUUUAACUCAAAUCCAUAACAGACCAUUCAUUAAUCAAGCUAUUUUUUUUCAACUUGAAUUCAGCCUACCACCAAUUGUUGAAUUGACAGGAAUGGACGCUCGAGAUUGAAUUUCAGCAAACCACAUUGGAAAGGAGUGGUUAACGUCACCUCUUCGAAGAAACCUGGUGUAAACUUCACGAUACGCAGAGAAAGUUAUUUGGGAUAUCUGGUGGGAUAUAACGUAGUACUGUGGACAUGGCGGAUGCUGCUGAGUGCGGUGUGAAAGUGAUGUUCCGAUUCAGGCCCUUCAACCAACAGAGGAGACAAAUACAUUCCGAUAUUCAAGGGCGAAGAUACGGUGGUAAUAACGAGUAAGCAUUGUGUUUGACCGAGUCCUGCCACCCAACACAACCCAGGAGCAAGUCUACGAUGCCUGUGCCAAGCAGAUCGUCAAAGAUGGAACAAUCUUUGCCUAUGGCCAGACCUCAUCAGGAAAGAUCCACACCAUGGAGCCUGGAGUUGGCAUACUAGCAUCGUCAGACUUCAUGAAUGGCAACAGCCGGACCGAUGUUAGCAGAGCUGCACUGCAAGCCGAGACAUCAGAAACACUUCAAACUAAGUUUGGUAGUUAGUGGAGUUAGCAGGGAUUUUUUUUUUAACAAAUAAUAAAGGAAAUAAUUCCUGGAACUUAGUUCCUCAGCACUGAAACUAUUACCUCACGUAGCAACAGCACAGGGCAUCUGUAUGUGUCUUCCAUUGAUGAUGUCCUCCUGGGGCAAGGCACUUAGAGACAGAUUGCUUUCCGGAUAAACAUAGGAACCCGUAAACCAUAGGAAGUAUCAGAGCAUUUAAAAUGUUUCAUUGCAAAAUGACAACAUUCUCGCGUGGAAGAAAACCUGGACAGGUUCUUUGUGAGUAUUGACUCUACCAAACUUAGUUUGAAGCGUUUUUGCAGAAGUUUUGUCUUGCAGUGCAGGUUUGCGAACAUCGGUUCGGCUGUUUCCAUUCAUUAAAUAAAGUACAUCAUGGAUUUGUGUGGAUUCUGUCACCAUGGGCCUUCAGACACA
Oncorhynchus keta (chum salmon) is the source of this 1168-nucleotide long non-coding RNA. RefSeq lists it as uncharacterized. The record is from RefSeq and is a predicted model, not a curated record. The transcript is spliced from 4 exons. NCBI's taxonomy places the organism in Eukaryota, Metazoa, Chordata, Actinopteri, Salmoniformes, Salmonidae.